RNAcentral lists this long non-coding RNA (1224 nucleotides) under Sus scrofa (pig). RNAcentral's name for it is "lncRNA (ENSSSCG00015027865.1)". The record is from RNAcentral. Lineage: Eukaryota; Metazoa; Chordata; Mammalia; Artiodactyla; Suidae.
AGGGCUGCACUCUCGACAUAUGGAAGUUCCCAGGCCAGAGGUCGAAUCUGAGCUCUAGCUGUCGGCCUACACCACAGCCACAGCAACUCGGGAUCCGAGCAGCGUCUUCAACCUAAACCAGGGCUCACGGCAAUGCCAGAUCCUUAACCCACUGAGCAAGACCAGGGAUUGAAUCCUCGUCCUCACGGAUACCAGUCAGGUUUGUUACUACUGAGUCCCAACGGGAACACCCAAAUGCAGGGAUUUGUUCNUUCUUUUUACCACAGCCUUUAGCCACAGAAUGGAUUUUCUAAUUUUUAAGUUAGUUGCUAGAUUUUUUGGUUUCUUUUUCAUAAAUGAUAACCACUAUAUAAAGGUAUAUUUUUUGGCUUAAAUAGUACUUUUUUAAUGGCUCCACCCACGGCAUCUGAAAGUUCCCAGGCCAGAGAUUGAAUCUGGAUCCUUUAAUAGGGGAUUGAACCCACACUUCCACAGAGACCCAAGCACUGCAAUCAGGUUCUAACCGACUGUGCUACAGUGGGAACUCCAAAUGCAAUCAUUUAAUGACUGUAUUAGUGGCUUACAAUGUAAAAUGGUCCAUUUUUGUACAUAUGCUAUCAUUUACUCAAUAAUAAAUAUGAAAACACAGUAUCAACUGUAUUAUUUAUAUCAGUGCUCAGAGACCUCACACACUAAGACCCUACCCAUUGCUUAUUUGGGACCUUAGCAAAUACAAUUUCUUUUCCCACAUAAAGAGUGUGUCUUCAAUGAAAUCUACCUUAUGCCAUUGGCCAAGCUCCAAACUUGGUUCUCCCUGAAUACAGUAAAGCUUCUUCCAAUGCAUAUAAGGAUGAAUUAGCAAAGCUCAGCAAAUAUAAAUAAAACCUUCAUCUGUUUUAUUUUAUUUAUUGAAUCAACUGUUUGGAUCCUGCUAGUUAAGCUAUGGUGAACUCUGGAGAAAAUCUCACUCAUUUGUUGGGGGUAUAAGAAAAGGAGGGUUUAUAAAGGUGGACAAUCCUAGAGUCCACACAGGAGCUUAUCAAGGGCAGCCUCGGGCAGCCUGGCUGGUAAUAGACUCAGUGAGGUCAUCAAGAAGAGAGUUGUGAAUGUCCACAAAGGUCAACAUGGGAGAAGCAGCAGCAUUUCAGAAUCCAGGAGGCUGAUGAAGAAAAUUCGAUCAGUAAAAGCAAUACAUUUUGAGAGUAGACUUUGAAGAAGGCAGAGCGAGUGAAGCUAGAGAGGCAG